CCAGUUCCGUUGGGCUGUGACGAGCUCAUCAAUCUUGGCCUUCAAAAACUGAUUCUCCUCGACGAGGCCCGUAUUCAUAUCAGCUAAAGCUUUUUGACUGGCAUCGGACGCAGCCAGCUCAUCCCUUGUGGCCCUCAGCUCGUCAUCAGACGUCUUCAAGUCCAUUAUAGCUCGAUCUAGGUCUUUCCGAAGGCCUUCAUUGGUAUGAAGAACGCCCUCGUGAUCGCUUCUUUCCCGAGCCAGGGUUGCCUUCAGCAUAUGGUUAUCCUAUCUCAAAAAAUCCUCCUCGGCUUCACCAUUGAUAUGCCUCGGACGUAAACGCCCGAAGACA
RNAcentral lists this long non-coding RNA (331 nucleotides) under Panax ginseng (ginseng). RNAcentral describes it as "long non-coding RNA (PGIN_LNC002154)". Lineage: Eukaryota; Viridiplantae; Streptophyta; Magnoliopsida; Apiales; Araliaceae. The record is from RNAcentral.